RNAcentral lists this ribosomal RNA (253 nucleotides) under uncultured bacterium. Its description in RNAcentral is "partial 16S ribosomal RNA". It matches the Rfam family "Bacterial small subunit ribosomal RNA", at positions 524 to 776 of the family's 1533-position model. The record is from RNAcentral.
UACAGAGGUCCCAAGCGUUGUUCGGAUUCACUGGGCGUAAAGGGUGCGUAGGUGGCUUGGUAAGUUUGGUGUGAAAUCUCCGGGCUUAACCCGGAAAUGGCAUUGAAUACUAUUGAGCUGGAGGUUUGGAGGGGGGACUGGAAUUCUCGGUGUAGCAGUGAAAUGCGUAGAUAUCGAGAGGAACACCAGUGGCGAAGGCGAGUCCCUGGACAACACCUGACACUGAGGCACGAAAGCUAGGGGAGCAAACAGG